Molecule: long non-coding RNA, 5681 nt
Filed under: Capsicum annuum
Lineage: Eukaryota; Viridiplantae; Streptophyta; Magnoliopsida; Solanales; Solanaceae
Description: long non-coding RNA (CANN_LNC013005)
Source: RNAcentral
UAUUUUUGUGGAUAAAACAGAUAUGACUUGGUAGUCCUUCGUACAUAGUAGUGGGGAGAAAUGGAGAUUUCUGCAAUUAAACCACCGACAGUACUCCAUUGUUAAAUCUCAAUCAAAGUACACUCCGUACAAACAAGGUUCCCCCUCUUUUAUCAAAGAAACCCUAUUCAAACAUUUUUCUAUUCCUUUGUCCCCACAAUCCUUGGAGCAAGCAUCAUGGGGUCAUAUAUUAUGUUAUUGUCCCAUUUUGAAACCCCAGGUACAAAAUUCUGGCCAAUCACUUAUUCAACAUAGUAGUUUUUUUCUUCCUAUGUACUAGUAUUUUGACUGCUGUUUCAAAUUCUUGCCAACCACUUAUUCAACAUAGUUUUUUACUUCCUAUGUACUAGUAUUUUGACUGUAGUAGCCAGGAUUUUCAGUGAGGGUUCAACAAUACAUAUACGGACUAGUCGAAGGGGUUCAACCUCUACUGUUUAUACAUCAAUUUUUUUUCAUCAUGUAAAAAUAGUAUAAUUUUCCGACGAAGGGGGUCGGAUGAACCCCUGGACCCUAUGUAGAUCCGCCACUGGUUGUAGCUGUAGUAUACUCUGCCAUUUCUUUUAUGUGAAUGUAAUUUUAUAGGAAACUGAACAUUUUCUAAUCUAGGGCUACUGAAGUUGGCAAAAGAAUAAGAUAGAAUUACAUGGUCUGUUUUCCUUGUGAUUUCCCCCUUAUAGUCGCAAAUAACAUAAAAUCAAAUUACAUGCUACUGAAGCUCUCGCGAUGUGUGGGGUUCAGGGAAGUGCAAGGAUCUAUUGUACUCGACUAUACCUUGCAUUCCACGACUUGAACCCGUGAUCUUUUGUUAAAUGCUCUUUUCAAGUCUUCUGAGAUCGAUUAUCAGUUCUACCGUCUGACCUAUAUAUGGACACAUCGAUUAUCAAUCCGACCAAUGAGAAAAUAGAAGUAGGCCAUUUUGCUAAUUGGAAACUUGAAGAGGCUUAAUAGACUAAUUUUCUCAUUAGGUCAUUUUGCUAAUUGGAAACUUGAAGAGGCUUAAUAGCCAAAGUUUCUCCUUGAACCCCUUGACAUGAACUCCAAAGCUACUAACGUUCCUCUUUUUAUACCAAUUUUGCUCAUAAAAAAAGGUAAUACUGGAACUAUUCGCAGUUUGCAUGUACUGAUUUGAAAUUAUAUAUAUGGAUUAUGAAGCCUUUCUCUAUGUGGUGUAGCCAAAAAUUUAAGGGUGGAGGGUGAGUGUUGGCUACGGGUUCGGCCGAUCCUAGUAGCUUUAGUUCAAAGUUGGUAUUUUUCUUAAAAAAUCAUUGAUAUGUAUAGAUUAUUAAUUUAAAAAUCAUAAGAGUGUGACAUAGUGGUCAAUGAGCUGGGUUGAGAUCAUGAUAUCUCAGGUUCAAAUCCCAACAGAGACAAACACAUUUUUCUUCAUCUAUCAUACUUGAUAGACAGAGUUAUGUGAUGGCCGUUGCUUGUGUGGGUUAGCAGGUAUCCCGUAGAAUUAGUCAAGGUGCGCAUCAGCUGUCCUGGAUACCACGGUUAUCACAAAAAAAGUAUUUCACUCAUUUUUAUUAUAUUAGUGAUAGUGGUGGAAAAUGUAAAAAGUAAUGCUUGAAAACUUAGUUUAACAAAGAAAAUGAGCACAUCGAAUUUUAAAUUUUGAUUUGUUGAUUUGUAUACUGCCUUGUAUCUUGAGCCGGGAGUCUAUCGGAAACAGCAUCUCUACCUCUUUAGGGGUAGUGGUAUGGACUGUGUAUACUCUACCCUCCUCAGACCCCACUUUGUGGGAAUAUACUGGGUUGUUGUUGAUUUGUUGAAAGUUGUAACUAAAUGAAAUAGUGUCAAACACUUUAAGACUUCAAAAAUGAAACCAUGUCUUAUAAUUUGUGAUGAAAGUAGUAAAAAGAAAGGUGUUUCUAUGGCUUUGUUGGUACUUCUUAAAGUUUCCAUUUGCAAGAGGGUAAUAAAUAUAACAUAUAUGUAUAAGUUUAGUGUCCGGCUAUCAAAAAAUGUAUUAAGUUGAAUGCCCAGUUACACUGUGCACGUGGGAAUAACAUUGAGAUUUAGUGGAUAGAAAGAAAACUCCCUUACUGGAUUCAGUGUGUGCAAGGUUGAAAUGGCACCCAUCACUUUCACCGUCCUCCUUUUCCAUUCCUCCUCUGGCUCCUCAUUCGAUUGUGCGAAAAGGGAUAUAUGAGAAAGAAGUGGCUUUCUAUAAAUUGUUGGUCAAGAAGUUUUACUCUGUGCGAAUUCUAGUCUACCUUGUCUUGUUUUAGCAACUUCUAUCAUCAUAGUAUACACCCAACAAGAAGUAUAUGUCUGAUGUGACACAAUCAUCUUAGGCCAUUUUCUCUUUAUCUUUAACCAUCCACGUGUGCUACAAAUACCUUUGGGCAGAUAUGAUGAUUUUCUUAUUAUUGUUCAACUUCUUAGGUUUACACUUCCAUCUUAACAUUUGCAUUUUAUUUGAUUUGUAUUGUGAAUAUGUUGGGCCUUAGAGGUCUGACAUUUAUUUUUAGAUGGCAUCGCUGAUAUCAUAACCAUUUUAUAGAACUCAUUUUUUCACUUGAUAGACCAUGCAAAGACACACUAGCUUCUACUAGAGGUAUCAUGCAACAACGCUUAGUCGAAAAAAAUCACAAAUAACUAAAUAAGUAUAUAUGCAAAUAGCUUUUUUUUUAAAAAUAAUGUCUCUUUGUGUACCUGUGUGUAUGUUAUAAGCUGGCACCGCUUGAAAAAUAAAAUAAAAACAUCAAUUUGAGACAAUUAGUAAUAGAACAGUCCACCCAAACCCACUUACAAGCUGAGUUGUGAUAGUACGCUGACUCCACUUGUCCAAAAUCGUGUGCAUUGGUAUUUUAUCUCAUAGUAUCCUCGUAGCACCUCCAUCUCAUGAGUCAUCCUCCUUAAAAAAAAAAAUCUAAAGUAAAAAAUAAAAUAAAGAAGGAUGAUGACAACACUAUGCCAUAGGAUACCUAUAAUUCAAUCUGUUACAUUUUCAUAUAUCACUGCAAACUUCCUUAAUGAUUUAUUAAUAUAUCUUCCGAAAUCCAAUGGAACUUUCUUUCCAUUUCUAGGAUUUCUUUGGUUGCUGACUGCCUUUCGCUGCUUUUAAUUUUCAUACAUAAAGUUAAGGAAGCAACUACUGUGAUAUCUCAUUUUUAAGCUAAAGUCUCCUGCGGAAAAUCAAUGCUUCACAAGCAUUAGCAUAUCUUUGUUGUUUUUGACUUUGAGGAACUCUUGUCAACUUUUGGGUUGCAAGAGUUUUCUGGGUCCUAGUAUAUUAUAUCCAUGGUAUAUCUGUUGUCAGCCUAGGAAAGUUUACAUUGUAGACCCUAGAGCCAUUUGUUAAUUGGACUAAUAAUUGCUGUUAUCAUUAGUCUUAUUUUUGAGAGAAGAUUUGGAAAGUUUACCAACAGUUUCUGUCUUUUUAACUUUUACCGAAACUCGUUAUGUGGAUAAAUUUGAGUCGCAACGAAGUAAAAUUAGAAAUGAAAGAAAAGCUUAAAUUAAAAAGCUAAAAAGAGGGCAGGCUAUUUAACUUAUUGCAAUGUGAAGAUUGAACUAGAAACAAGAAAAAAAAAGCAUCUACUUGAAUGUUCUUGCGUCUUUAUGGUCCACCUUUAGUGGUUGAAAUUUUCAUUUGUUGGAUAUUGGAAUGCACUUUAUAAUCCAACCGAUAGGCCAUGACAAUGACGAAAUCCCUAUGCAUGCAGCCCAUUGCAUCCAGUUCAGCCUUUCAGUAUUAGCAAAUCUCCUCAGGAAUUCAACCAUAAUUACCUGGAGAAGUAGUGUCACUCCCACUAUCCCAAUAAACAGUCUGUUCUUCAAUAUCCCACGGAAUAUGUUUUUCUUCUCCAAAUUCCUUGCAUUGAACUCGUUGAAGAUUUGACAGAGGACGAAAGUAUUGAAGAUCAAGGUGUCUUUUACCUUCUUAUUCACAUGAAAGAUGGCACUUCCUUUGAACUGCAGGAUUAAUAGUACAGUUACCUGAUACAACGCUUGAGCAAUGAGGUUCCUCCACAUCACACCAGUUAUCAGAGGUUCAGUUCGUCCAACUGGUUUCUUGCUCAUUAGAUCACUACUGGGUCGCUCAGUUGCCAACGCUAAGGCCCCCAGAGUAUCCAUUAUGAGAUUCACCCACAGAAGUUGGACUGCUGUCAGAGGGACUUCUCCAGAUGAAGCAGCAGCAACAAAGUUGAUAACAAGGGCAGCAACAUUUACUGUGAGUUGAAACUGGAUAAACUUUUGAAUGUUAUUAAACACACACCUACCCCACUUCAAGACUGUAACCACUGUAUUGAAAUUGUCGUCCAAGAUAAUUAUAUCGGAGCUCUCCUUUGCGACUUCUGUGCCUUGGAUCCCCAUGGAAAGUCCAAUAUCUGCUGCUUUUAGUGCUGGAGCAUCAUUUGUUCCAUCGCCUGUUACUGCUACAACAUGACCUUUCUGCUUCAAACAUUCCACCAUCAAAAGCUUGUCAAACGGUGAAGACCUUGCCAUCACUCGUAUUUUUUCGACUACCUCCAUUCUUUCUUCUUUCGAAUAAUUCCUGAAUGCUGGUCCUUCAAUAACUGCAAUGUUCAAGUCUUCACCUGGUUGGAGUAUUCCACAUUCAAAAGCUAUUGAUUUGGCUGUAAACACAUUGUCCCCAGUAAUCAUUUUGAUGCUAACACCAGCAGCCCUGCAAGAUUCUACUGCUUCUUUUACACCUGGCCUACAUGGGUCCUUUAGACCCACCAGACCCAGUAAGGUUAGUUUAGAUUCUUCAAGAAUUUGACUUUCUGCAUUGCUUUCUUUGUAAGCAAAUGCAAUACAUCGCAAGCUCUUGCUUGCCAUAUAUUUAAUUUUCAAUUCAAGUUCUUCUCUUUCUUCAUGAUCUAUAGGUGCAACUAAUCCACUUUUGACGUAAUAAGUGGAGCACAUAGCUAGAAUCAUCUCAGCAGCACCUUUCCAAUGUGUGUGAACUUUUCCCGUACUAGUUUUUGUUACCAGUACCCCACUUCUCUUCUUUUGUGAAUUGAAAACUUCAACAUGAAGGAUUUGAUACUCUUGCUUUAUUUCAUUAAAGUUCACUAGUAAACUGGUCAUGGCCCAUGAUAGAAUUGCUUUCUCAGUUGGGCUUCCACAGAUCUCUGGAGGACCAGAAGGUGUUGUGUAAACAUCACCAGUAGUAUUCAAGCCAGCAGCCUCUUGUAGCAAUUCAAGAACUUCAGGUGCUAUUUGUGAUGUCAUCAUAAUUAUUUCUGUACCUAACAAAAACUCAGUUACCUGCAAAGAUGAAUUCAUAAUUUAAAUGUAAUGAGUUCUAUGUUCAUGUUCUUACUGUUAAAUUCCUUGCAAUUUCAAAUUAUUAGUUUAGAAUUUAAUAUUUGUUGAAAGUUUACUAAUUUUCAACAUAUAUUUAUGCUUCGUAGUGAAACUAGCGGGUUCAUUGAACCAAUUAAACAAGGGUGCAUUCACCUCAAGUUACGUACCUGCAUCUGGUUUAAGGUGAGAGUGCCAGUUUUGUCUGUGCAGAUUGUGGUUGCUGAGCCCAUAGUCUCACAGGCAGAUAGCUUGCGGACCAUCGCAUGAUCGAGCAUCAUUCUUCUCAUAGAGUAUGCCAAUGUUAGGGUGACGGCCAAUGGCAAACCUUCUGGGAUUGCAACCACUAUGAUGGUUACUGCUGCUGCAAUUAUACGAAUCAA